This 369-nucleotide ribosomal RNA is filed under the name uncultured organism. RNAcentral describes it as "bacterial SSU rRNA". It matches the Rfam family "Bacterial small subunit ribosomal RNA", at positions 526 to 896 of the family's 1533-position model. The record is from RNAcentral.
CGGAGGGUGCAAGCGUUAUCCGGAAUCACUGGGUUUAAAGGGUGCGUAGGCGGUCUAGUAAGUCAGUAGUGAAAGGUUCCCGCUUAACGGGAGACGUGCUAACGAUACUGCUAGACUUGAACAUAGAUAAAGUGGGCGGAAUGCAUCAUGUAGCGGUGAAAUGCUUAGAUAUGAUGUAGAACACCGAAAGCGAAGGCAGCUCACAGUACUAUUGUUGACGCUGAGGCACGAAAGCGUGGGUAGCGAACAGGAUUAGAUACCCUGGUAGUCCACGCCCUAAACGAUGCUUACUGGAUGUUGGGUUGGAGUGAUUCAGCAUCUAAGGGAAACCAUUAAGUAAGCCACCUGGGGAGUACGCCCGCAAGGGUG